RNAcentral lists this ribosomal RNA (445 nucleotides) under uncultured bacterium. RNAcentral describes it as "partial 16S ribosomal RNA". It matches the Rfam family "Bacterial small subunit ribosomal RNA", at positions 354 to 796 of the family's 1533-position model. The record is from RNAcentral.
GUGAGGAAUAUUGGUCAAUGGGCGGGAGCCUGAACCAGCCAAGUCGCGUGAAGGAAGAAGGAUCUAUGGUUCGUAAACUUCUUUUGCAGGGGAAUAAAGUGCAGGACGUGUCCUGUUUUGUAUGUACCCUGAGAAUAAGGAGCGGCUAACUCCGUGCCAGCAGCAGCGGUAAUACGGAGGAUCCGAGCGUUAUCCGGAUUUAUUGGGUUUAAAGGGUGCGUAGGUGGUUUGAUAAGUCAGCGGUGAAAGUUUGCAGCUUAACUGUAAAAAUGCCGAUGAAACUGUCGGACUUGAGUGUAAAUGAGGUAGGCGGAAUGCGUAGUGUAGCGGUGAAAUGCAUAGAUAUCACGCAGAACUCCGAUUGCGAAGGCAGCUUACUAAGCUACAACUGACACUGAAGCACGAAAGCGUGGGGAUCAAACAGGAUUAGAAACCCGGGUAGUCC